GCUUUUAUAAUUUAAUAUAAAAUAUUGGUCUUGUAAACCAAACAUAAGUUUAACUUUAAAAGCA
RNAcentral lists this transfer RNA (64 nucleotides) under Mylabris calida. Its description in RNAcentral is "tRNA-Thr". It matches the Rfam family "tRNA". From Rfam's summary of the family: Transfer RNA (tRNA) molecules are approximately 80 nucleotides in length. RNAcentral also lists the same sequence under 1 other name. The record is from RNAcentral. Lineage: Eukaryota; Metazoa; Arthropoda; Insecta; Coleoptera; Meloidae.